GACGAACGCUGGCGGCGUGCUUAACACAUGCAAGUCGAACGGGCCUGUCUUCUUUUUUGGGGGGUGGGUUGAGUGGCGAACGGGUGAGUAUCACGUGAGUAACCUGCCCUUCGGUCCUGGAUAACCGCUUGAAAGGGCGGCUAAUACGGGGUGGUCCGGUUGGUCCGCAUGGGCUGGUCGGGAUAGAUUCACUGUUUUUGGUGUUUCGGCGGGGGAUGGGCUCGCGGCCUAUCAGCUUGUUGGUGGGGUGAUGGCCUACCAAGGCGGUGACGGGGAGCCGGCCUGAGAGGGUGGGCGGCCACAAUGGGACUGAGAUACGGCCCAGAAUCCUGCGGGAGGCAGCGGUGGGGGGUAUUGCACAAUGGGCGGAAGCCUGAUGCAGCGACGUCGCGUGAGGGAGGGAGGCCUUCGGGUUGUGAACCUCUGUUUCCGGUGGUGAAGGCCCUGUCCGUGUGGUGGGGUUGACGGUAGCCGGGGAUGAAGCGCCGGCUAACUACGUG
RNAcentral lists this ribosomal RNA (500 nucleotides) under uncultured bacterium. RNAcentral describes it as "partial 16S ribosomal RNA". It matches the Rfam family "Bacterial small subunit ribosomal RNA", at positions 28 to 507 of the family's 1533-position model. The record is from RNAcentral.